RNAcentral lists this transfer RNA (89 nucleotides) under Salipiger sp. PrR003. Its description in RNAcentral is "Yangia sp. PrR003 tRNA-Lys". It matches the Rfam family "tRNA". From Rfam's summary of the family: Transfer RNA (tRNA) molecules are approximately 80 nucleotides in length. Their secondary structure includes four short double-helical elements and three loops (D, anti-codon, and T loops). Lineage: Bacteria; Pseudomonadati; Pseudomonadota; Alphaproteobacteria; Rhodobacterales; Roseobacteraceae. The record is from RNAcentral.
GAACCGGUGCCCAGAGUUGGUCGAAGGGGGGAGACUCUUAAUCUCCAAGCGAAAGCUCAUCGUGGGUUCGAAUCCCACCCGGUUCUCCA